This 449-nucleotide ribosomal RNA is filed under the name uncultured bacterium. RNAcentral's name for it is "partial 16S ribosomal RNA". It matches the Rfam family "Bacterial small subunit ribosomal RNA", at positions 29 to 523 of the family's 1533-position model. The record is from RNAcentral.
AACGAACGCUGGCGGCAUGCCUAACACAUGCAAGUCGAACGAAGGCUUCGGCCUUGGUGGCGCACGGGUGAGUAACGCGUGGGAAACUGCCUAUUGGUGGGGAAUAACGACGGGAAACUGUCGCUAAUACCGCAUAAGCCCUUCGGGGGAAAGAUUUGUCGCCGAUAGAUGUGCCCGCGUCCGAUUAGCUAGUUGGUGAGGUAAUGGCUCACCAAGGCGACGAUCGGUAGCUGGUCUGAGAGGAUGAUCAGCCACACUGGGACUGAGACACGGCCCAGACUCCUACGGGAGGCAGCAGUGGGGAAUAUUGGACAAUGGGCGAAAGCCUGAUCCAGCAAUGCCGCGUGAGUGAUGAAGGCCUUAGGGUUGUAAAGCUCUUUCGGGUGGGACGAUGAUGACGGUACCACCAGAAGAAGCCCCGGCUAACUUCGUGCCAGCAGCCGCCGUAA